Molecule: long non-coding RNA, 248 nt
Filed under: Mytilus galloprovincialis (Mediterranean mussel)
Lineage: Eukaryota; Metazoa; Mollusca; Bivalvia; Mytilida; Mytilidae
Source: RNAcentral
AUCUCUUUCUUCUCACCAAUACACUACUCUAUCAUUCAGUAUACUGCAAUAUAAUUUAUAUGCACAGGGAGCUAAAGUUAUGCCCCUAUAUGACAAAGGAUCUCGUGGAUCUGAAGUUGAAGACUUAGGAAUUGGGGUUAUAAUACUUUUACCCCAUACAGAAGGAAUUUUUCCAUACUUGAAACAUAUAUUAAAUAACUUAUGCAAAAUUAACAUCAAUGCAUUAUUUUUAAAUAAUUCUACUGACA